This 323-nucleotide ribosomal RNA is filed under the name uncultured eukaryote. RNAcentral's name for it is "partial 18S ribosomal RNA". It matches the Rfam family "Eukaryotic small subunit ribosomal RNA", at positions 1470 to 1796 of the family's 1831-position model. The record is from RNAcentral.
CCCUUAGAUGUUCUGGGCCGCACGCGCGCUACACUGAUGCAUUCAACGAGUUUCUUCCUGGUCCGAGAGGAAUGGGUAACCUUUUGAAAGUGCAUCGUGAUAGGGAUAGACUAUUGCAAUUAUUGGUCUUCAACGAGGAAUUCCUAGUAAGCACAAGUCAUCAGCUUGUGUUGAUUACGUCCCUGCCCUUUGUACACACCGCCCGUCGCUCCUACCGAUUGAAUGUUCCGGUGAGCUCUUCGGACUGCGCGGUCUGCAGUUUCUGCGUUCCGUGCGGAAAGUUGCGCAAACCUUAACAUUUAGAGGAAGGAGAAGUCGUAACA